AACUCUGAUGCAGCGAUGCCGCGUGAGUGAAGAAGGCCCUUGGGUUGUAAAGCUCUUUCGUCGGGGAAGAAAAUGACUGUACCCGAAUAAGAAGGUCCGGCUAACUUCGUGCCAGCAGCCGCGGUAAUACGAAGGGACCUAGCGUAGUUCGGAAUUACUGGGCUUAAAGAGUUCGUAGGUGGUUGAAAAAGUUAGUGGUGAAAUCCCAGAGCUUAACUCUGGAACUGCCAUUAAAACUUUUCAGCUAGAGUAUGAUAGAGGAAAGCAGAAUUUCUAGUGUAGAGGUGAAAUUCGUAGAUAUUAGAAAGAGUACCAAUUGCGAAGGCAGCUUUCUGGAUCAUUACUGACACUGAGGAACGAAAGCAUGGGUAGCGAAGAGGAUUAGAUACCCUCGUAGUCCAUGCCGUAAACGAUGUGUGUUAGACGUUGGAAAUUUAUUUUCAGUGUCGCAGGGAAACCGAUAAACACACCGCCUGGGGAGUACGACCGCAAGGUUAAAACUCAAAUGAAUUGACGGGGACCCGCACAAGUAGUGGAGCAUGUGGUUUAAUUCGAAGAUACGCGCAGAACCUUACCAACACUUGACAUGUUCGUCGCGACUCUAAGAGAUUAGAGUUUUCGGUUCGGCCGGACGAAACACAGGUGCUGCAUGGCUGUCGUCAGCUCGUGUCGUGAGAUGUUGGGUUAAGUCCCGCAACGAGCGCAACCCUCACUUUUAGUUGCCAUCAUUAAGUUGGGCACUCUGAAAGAACUGCCAGUGAUAAGCUGGAGGAAGGUGGGGAUGACGUCAAGUCCUCAUGGCCCUUACGUGUUGGGCUACACACGUGCUACAAUGGUAUCUACAACAGGAAGCAAGACUGCGAAGUUAAGCAAAUCCCUAAAAGAUACCU
This 890-nucleotide ribosomal RNA is filed under the name uncultured Alphaproteobacteria bacterium. RNAcentral describes it as "bacterial SSU rRNA". It matches the Rfam family "Bacterial small subunit ribosomal RNA", at positions 379 to 1288 of the family's 1533-position model. Lineage: Bacteria; Pseudomonadati; Pseudomonadota; Alphaproteobacteria. The record is from RNAcentral.